Molecule: long non-coding RNA, 2737 nt
Filed under: Equus caballus (horse)
Lineage: Eukaryota; Metazoa; Chordata; Mammalia; Perissodactyla; Equidae
Description: lncRNA (ENSECAG00000049719.1)
Source: RNAcentral
GCAGAAAACAAAUCACUUUAAUACAUAUUCACCACAGUUGUGUGUAGACACACACACACAUAUACACACACCACAGUUCAUCCAGGGAAUAUAUUACAGUUAAAGGAGAGCAGCCUAAAGGGAUGGUUUGGGACAGACUGCAGGUGAUUACUCAUUCUCUACAGGCAGUUGAACCUCCCGAGUUGGGAUAAGUGGUAAGUGAUGGAGGGUAUGGCAAGACAAGAGAGCUCAGAGAUAAAUGAGGCGAACAGCAGCUUCUAGUGCUCCUGCAGCUCUCACACUCAUGGAAUCCUGCUGGUGGGCAGAGAAGUGUGAUCAGUAGCUUGGACAAAAAUGACAUCUUUGAUGAAACUACUAACUUGUGACACCUGGUCUCACUUUAAAUCUACACUUGCAUAACACAAGAGUAACCUAAUGGAUUUAUAGGAUGCCUUCUAAACUGACAUAUUUCAAGGCUGAAGCUUAGAAGAUAAAUGUCGGCCCUGAAGGCAAUUACUUUAGACAAUUCUAAGAGACUGAAAAGAUGCUAUGAUCACACAGUCGUGACUAUGGAGCCACGAAUUAGAGACGAUCACCCUCAUUUUCAGGCCUCCGUCUUGCUCUGACUAUGGUUUUUCUUUACUCUCUCUGUAGCUUUGCUCCAUAUUGCCCGCCUUAAAAGCAAGAGAUCCCUUGUUUGAGCUUUAUCCCAUUUAACAGACUGCCUCCUCCACACAUCCAAAGCUUACUUCAUGAUCUUGAUUCCCAGAUUCAUGUCUUCCCAAAUAUUCUCUCUCUCAGGGAAAGGAAGCACCAUAGUUCAAGCUAGAAAUCUGGGAGUCAACCUUGUCACUUCCCUUUUCCUAACCCCAACAACGAGUUCAUCACAAAAUCUAGCCAAUUCUACUUCUAAAUUAGUUUCCUAAAUUCCAUUGACAUGUCCAUCCACAAUACCGCCAACUCAAACUGCUUCAACCGCCUGUGUCAUUAUUGCAAUGGUCAUGUGUUCCUUGCUUACUCUUGCCAUCUCCAAUCUGCUUUCCAACUGCACCCAGAGUAAUUAUUUUAAAACACAAACAUUAAGCAUGUCAUUGCUGAGAGGGAAGGAUUAACUUAUCCCAGAGAGAUCCCCUAGGCCUUUUGCAAAGAUCCACGGGAACUGGGUAAGGCCCUGAGUUUAAGGCAGUCAAUCCUGGCCAACCACAGGGCUUGAGCUCUAGGCUCUUCUCACGCCAAGGAAGGGGCCAGUGCUUUCCCAAACAGGGAGAGUGAUGGCAAGAAUUCUCCUACUUACUUGCUACAUCAUAUACCUGCAAACUUUAGCGCCCUGAUCAAGUCAUAGGAGCAGCUGGUUUUACCACAAAGAAUGCUGAAUAGCUCUGGGGCCAAGUUUCUGCCUUAUAAUAUUGCUAUCAUUUUUCGGCUCUGGGUCACACAGUCCUUCCCUAGUCAUGCGGUUUCAAAGCCCCACACAUCAAGGGUAGGGUUCCUCCUGAAGUUUAGUACCUGGACUUGCUAGACCUCUGUGGCAUAUUCUAGAAUACAAGUGUACCUGUUACUGAGCCUGUCUCUAUGAGUUUAAUUUGGGGUUAAACUUUAACCCUUAAAAUGCUGUCCUAGCAGGUUUGGUGUACUCAUUUUCAUGACAAUUGCCUAGCUUAAAACUCUUCAGGUGCGCCACACUACUUUUAAGAUAAAUACCAAAAUACUUAUCAUGGCAUACAAAGCCCAGCAUGACCUGGAUCCUGCCUCCUCUCGCGGAUUCUCUUUGUACCACUGUUCGCUGUUUCAAUCAACUGGACUUCUUUCAUUUUUCACAAAAGCAAGAUCUUUCUUCCUGCCUCAGGGCCUUCAAACUGUUCUUCCCUAUGCUGGAACAUUCUUUCCCACUCAGCUUUCUGAUCUGAGAUCAGAAGUCACUUCUCCAGGGACGCUCUCCCUGAUCUUCCAGACUAGCAUGGCUGCCCUUUUAUACAUCUUAAACUGUUUAGCAAAAAGAUAAAAACAAACAAAAAUCAGGAGCCUUUUCUAAUUUUCUUUUUCAUUGUAGCUGUUAUUCCUAAUUCGAAGUUGAAUCCUAAUAGGAAAGGCUCAUGCUAUUACUCAAUAGUUGCAGAAAAAUGUGUUAUAGCAAUAAAAGUGUUUUCAACAUCCACAUUCACUCCAAAAAAAGACCACUUCGAUUUCCUUAACUGAAUUCUUACUCCUCUUAAUAGAAUGUUACAUUCUCUUCCCACAGCAUUUGAUACUUAUUCCUGAUAAUACUUACCAUAGGUACAAUUAUAUGAUUAAGCAUGAAAUUUUUAUUUAUUUCUAGUUUCCUCUCUAGACUAUAUUUUUUGCAUGCGAGAUAAAACUUUGCCUAUUUCCUUACAUUGUGUUCUCACUGGGUAGCAUAGAGACUGUCACAUAAUAGGCAUUCCAUGCUCUUUGCUGAGUGAAUAAAUAAAUUUUAAAAGAUCAGUGCCAUUUCUAGUAAGAAAAAAACCCAAGAAAUAAAAGGCAUUAAAAUAAAAAGAAAAUAUAUGAUAAUUUUAGAAAGUUAGGAAAAAGAAAAGAAUAUUAUCCACAAUUCCAUUAGUCAAAUAUAUAUUUAGUUUUUUUGUUUACAUUUAAUGAAACAUAAUUUCUUCAUCACAAAAAUAUGCUACUUCUUCACUCACAAAAAAUGGGAAGGAAAAAAUGGGAAGACUGAGAGGGUAGGACUGGGGACCCAGCUGACAAAUGGAGGAUAGAAGGUGCUAUCACGUGGAAAGAA